This 492-nucleotide ribosomal RNA is filed under the name uncultured bacterium. RNAcentral's name for it is "partial 16S ribosomal RNA". It matches the Rfam family "Bacterial small subunit ribosomal RNA", at positions 29 to 507 of the family's 1533-position model. The record is from RNAcentral.
AGUGAACGCUGGCGGUAGGCCUAACACAUGCAAGUCGAACGGCAGCACAGUAAGAGCUUGCUCUUACGGGUGGCGAGUGGCGGACGGGUGAGGAAUACAUCGGAAUCUACUUUUUCGUGGGGGAUAACGUAGGGAAACUUACGCUAAUACCGCAUACGACCUACGGGUGAAAGCAGGGGAUCUUCGGACCUUGCGCGAUUGAAUGAGCCGAUGUCGGAUUAGCUAGUUGGCGGGGUAAAGGCCCACCGAGGCGACGAUCCGUAGCUGGUCUGAGUGGAUGAUCAGCCACACUGGAACUGAGACACGGUCCAGACUCCUACGGGAGGCAGCAGUGGGGAAUAUUGGACAAUGGGCGCAAGCCUGAUCCAGCCAUACCGCGUGGGUGAAGAAGGCCUUCGGGUUGUAAAGCCCUUUUGUUGGGAAAGAAAAGCAGCAGGUUAAUACCCCGCUGUUCUGACGGUACCCAAAGAAUAAGCACCGGCUAACUUCGUG